RNAcentral lists this ribosomal RNA (506 nucleotides) under uncultured bacterium. RNAcentral describes it as "partial 16S ribosomal RNA". It matches the Rfam family "Bacterial small subunit ribosomal RNA", at positions 29 to 523 of the family's 1533-position model. The record is from RNAcentral.
AGUGAACGCUGGCGGUAGGCCUAACACAUGCAAGUCGAACGGCAGCACAGGAGAGCUUGCUCUCUGGGUGGCGAGUGGCGGACGGGUGAGGAAUACAUCGGAAUCUACUUUUUCGUGGGGGAUAACGUAGGGAAACUUACGCUAAUACCGCAUACGACCUACGGGUGAAAGCAGGGGAUCUUCGGACCUUGCGCGAGUGAAUGAGCCGAUGUCGGAUUAGCUAGUUGGCGGGGUAAAGGCCCACCAAGGCGACGAUCCGUAGCUGGUCUGAGAGGAUGAUCAGCCACACUGGAACUGAGACACGGUCCAGACUCCUACGGGAGGCAGCAGUGGGGAAUAUUGGACAAUGGGCGCAAGCCUGAUCCAGCCAUACCGCGUGGGUGAAGAGGGCCUUCGGGUUGUAAAGCCCUUUUGUUGGGAAAGAAAUCCAGCUGGUUAAUACCCGGUUGGGAUGACGGUACCCAAAGAAUAAGCACCGGCUAACUUCGUGCCAGCAGCCGCAGUAA